UACAGAGGGGGCAAGCGUUGUUCGGAAUUACUGGGCGUAAAGGGCGCGUAGGCGGCCUGCUAAGUCGAACGUGAAAUCCCCGGGCUCAACCCGGGAACUGCGUCCGAUACUGGCAGGCUUGAAUUCGGGAGAGGGAUGCGGAAUUCCAGGUGUAGCGGUGAAAUGCGCAGAUAUCAGGAGGAACACCAAUGGCGAAGGCAGCUCGCUGGGACGGUACUGACGCUGAGGCGCGAAAGCGUGGGGAGCAAACAGG
This 253-nucleotide ribosomal RNA is filed under the name uncultured bacterium. RNAcentral describes it as "partial 16S ribosomal RNA". It matches the Rfam family "Bacterial small subunit ribosomal RNA", at positions 524 to 776 of the family's 1533-position model. The record is from RNAcentral.